CAAGAGCGUACAAAAGAAAAAAAUUUAGAUCGCACAACUGAUCACUAAUAAAAAAAGAAAAACAAAUGUACAACUAAGAGAACUAAAAAGCACCAUUAAACAAGAACAUCACUGGAAAAAAUUAAUCAACUAAAACUUUAUCCCCAUAGGGUUCGAGCUAGAUCUCAAAUCGACAUAAUCACCAUCAAUAGAUUAUAAUUCAUUCAAAGAACCUCCCAAAACCACAUA
RNAcentral lists this long non-coding RNA (228 nucleotides) under Lathyrus oleraceus (garden pea). Its description in RNAcentral is "Pisum sativum (pea) long non-coding RNA (PSAT_LNC022351)". Lineage: Eukaryota; Viridiplantae; Streptophyta; Magnoliopsida; Fabales; Fabaceae. The record is from RNAcentral.